Molecule: ribosomal RNA, 253 nt
Filed under: uncultured bacterium
Lineage: Bacteria
Description: partial 16S ribosomal RNA
Rfam family: Bacterial small subunit ribosomal RNA
Source: RNAcentral
UACGUAGGUGGCGAGCGUUGUCCGGAUUUACUGGGCGUAAAGAGCGCGCAGGCGGUCGUACAAGUCCCGUUUGAAAGCCCCCGGCUCAACUGGGGAGGGUCACGCGAUACUGUUCGACUCGAAGGCAGGAGAGGGAAGUGGAAUUCCCGGUGUAGUGGUGAAAUGCGUAGAUAUCGGGAGGAACACCAGUGGCGAAGGCGACUUCCUGGCCUGUUCUUGACGCUGAGGCGCGAAAGCUAGGGUAGCAAACGGG